AGUGAACGCUGGCGGUAGGCCUAACACAUGCAAGUCGAACGGCAGCACAGUAAGAGCUUGCUCUUACGGGUGGCGAGUGGCGGACGGGUGAGGAAUACAUCGGAAUCUACUUUUUCGUGGGGGAUAACGUAGGGAAACUUACGCUAAUACCGCAUACGACCUACGGGUGAAAGCAGGGGAUCUUCGGACCCUGCGCGAUUGAAUGAGCCGAUGUCGGAUUAGCUAGUUGGCGGGGUAAAGGCCCACCAAGGCGACGAUCCGUAGCUGGUCUGAGAGGAUGAUCAGCCACACUGGAACUGAGACACGGUCCAGACUCCUACGGGAGGCAGCAGUGGGGAAUAUUGGGCAAUGGGCGCAAGCCUGAUCCAGCCAUACCGCGUGGGUGAAGAAGGCCCUCGGGUUGUAAAGCCCUUUUGUUGGGAAAGAAAAGCAGCAGGUUAAUACCCCGCUGUUCUGACGGUACCCAAAGAAUAAGCACCGGCUAACUUCGUG
Molecule: ribosomal RNA, 492 nt
Filed under: uncultured bacterium
Lineage: Bacteria
Description: partial 16S ribosomal RNA
Rfam family: Bacterial small subunit ribosomal RNA
Source: RNAcentral